This 236-nucleotide ribosomal RNA is filed under the name uncultured Candidatus Saccharibacteria bacterium. RNAcentral describes it as "partial 16S ribosomal RNA". It matches the Rfam family "Bacterial small subunit ribosomal RNA", at positions 584 to 818 of the family's 1533-position model. The record is from RNAcentral. Lineage: Bacteria; Candidatus Saccharimonadota.
UAAGUAGGUAGUGAAAUCUGACGGCUCAACCGUACAGGCUAUUACCUAAACUGGCAAACUCGAGAAUGGUAGAGGUAACUGGAAUUUCUUGUGUAGGAGUGAAAUCCGUAGAUAUACGAAGGAACACCAAUGGCGUAGGCAGGCUACUGGACCAUUUCUGACGCUAAGGCACGAAAGCGUGGGGAGCGACCGGGAUUAGAUACCCCGUUAGUCCACGCCGUAAACGAUGGAUGCUA